AUUAAAUUAAAAGAUAUGGUUAAAUUAUAAUCUCAAAUGAUGGUAGUGAGCAAAAAGGAAAGGCCAUGGCUACCUAGACAGGGAUAAGUCAGAGAAUCAGUAACACAUGUUUAUACAUCUAAAUAAGAGCUUCCAAAGUAGUAGUGGGAGAUUGAAAGCUGGGUGAUGGACAGUAGAAAAACGUCAUGAUUUGUGUUUACGUGAGCUGGACUAAUACAGCCAACAAUGAGUUUGAAUGUUUAUUCCAUUACAUAAUUUUGAGCUUGAAAAAAUAGCAUCCUCACUGGAACAAAGUAAAAUGACAGGGUUUGACUCUUUAAUGGCUUUUAAGGUCCCUUUCAGUUUUAAAAUGAUGAUCCUAUGAUCUUCUCAGCUGGUUUUCCUGUAGUAUUGUCAUGGUUAGUGAUAUUUCUUUGAGCCUUUCAGGGAAUGAUAACCUGACAUAAAGGAAAUUAAAUUAAAAAAGAUUUUGAACCACUUCUAGCCGUGUACAAUGCUUCCCUCAAAAUUAGCUUUCCCAAAGCCUCUUUGCUAUUCUUGUAGUUCCUUCCAUUAGGAGAGCCUCGGUUUUGAUAGUAACAAUACUCUAAAUUUUUUAAAAGUUGGCUUAUGAUCUUAUAAUCAAAAUAGCAAUUUAUUGUCCAGUCCUUUACAAGGAAGGAAGGCUAUCCGCAAGAAUGUCAGAUGAGGGAUUUGCCGAGGGAAAUAUCCAAAGUGGAUGAGGAACGGGGAGAAUUAUAGAGCGUGGAGUUCGGGUAACUUCACAACGAAGCAGUCUGAGGUUCAAAGCUGACUUGGGAAUCCAGGGAAAUCAGCCCAUUCAUCUUUUGCAGCUCUUCCUGCACCUCCAGCUCUCCUUUAGCAUUGUCCAAUGCAAUGCCAGCCUUUGAGGAUGACACAGGAAAGGCCAGCCUGGUCUCUCCAAAGCCCCGCAGGUGCUUGUUGCACUAGUCUUUUCACAGCAGUGAAGGGCGGUGUUUUUCCUCUUGUACCCCUCCACGGUAUAGUGGGCAGGGAAUUGGGUUACCAUGGCAACCUUCUUGCUGCCAUCCCAGGCUAGAGGGAAUGUUCCCCCAGGCUCCUCUCCAUCUGCAUGUCCUUGGCGACCUCCCUGCGGUGGCGAAGUGGGUGGGGAAGCUGCUCCUCUCCGCUGUCUGUACAGUCCUGCCGAGGCAGGGGAGGCCCGCCUCUAGGGAGCUCCCCCAGUUUAUUGAUGGUAUAAAUGGGCAGGGGAACGGCGUUGUCAUGGCAGCGACUCCUCCGAUUGUUCCGUGCGAGGAAAGGCCUGGCUCCGGGGAUCUGCCUGGUGCUCCCCAAGGCCAAUUGAGCCGGGAACUGGAUUGCCAGAGUGCCUUCCGAAGUGGCCCCAGAAAGGGGAGAAAGGGAGAGAGAGGCACUGUGUCAAAGAGCAGAGACCAAAAAAUGAUUGAAUUUGGAACUGGGCCAGCUUCCUGAGCAAAAUAAUCGGCAUUUCAAGUGAGCACAUUAAAAGACUGGCUAAUGUUCUGUGGAGGACUGUUAUUAUGGCAGAAUGGAUACAGGGACCCAGCAAACCCUUCAAGGUUCUUCUGGACAGACGCAUUGCCUUGAGCACAUGCAGGACUUUCCCAGACAGAUGAAUUCUCUGCUGGAUUUUUAAAUGCAGUUAUGAAAGUCACCAGGUGGUCUUCAGGUGGCAAGGCCACAGGGGAAAAUAAUGGUAAUCCAGCAAUGGAUUUACAAAGAAAGAAUUCUGAGAAUGAAGAACAGCUUUGGUCCAGACUGAGAAGAAGAAAUGACUCGAAAGAGAUAGAAUGUUGUUAGAAGUGAUGCUGACAAGGAUUAAGAGUGUUAAGGCUAAACUGGAGGCAGCUGAGAAUAAACUGCUAAGUAAAUCAGAGGCAUCUUUGGAAUGCUAUCUAAGUUGGAAAUGACAAAGACAAACAAGAGAGAGCUUCCUUAGAAGCUUUCAGCAGUAAUUUCUUCCUUUACCUCAGUUGACACAAGCCUUCCUUCUGUCCUCCCCUUCCUUUCCCUCUCUCCUGUCCUCCCCUCCCCUCCUUUAUUUCCCUGUCUUCCCCUCCCCUCUCCUUUUGGACAAAAUACAUCCCCUCCCCUCUCUUCUCCUUUUAUCUCCUCCCCUGUCUCCUUUCUCCUUUCCUCUUCCCAUUCCUCUUACGCCUCUCCCCUCUUUUCUACUACUCUCCCUUCCCUUCCUCUCCUCCCUCACUCCUCCUCCUUUCAUCCUCCUCCCCUACCCUCUCUUUCCCUCCUCCCCUCUCUUUCCUUUUUCCUAUCUCCUUCCUCCUGUCCCCUCACUUUUUCCCCCCUCCCCUUCUUUCCCCUCUCCUUCUCUCC
Antechinus flavipes (yellow-footed antechinus) is the source of this 2337-nucleotide long non-coding RNA. RefSeq lists it as uncharacterized. The transcript is spliced from 4 exons. The record is from RefSeq and is a predicted model, not a curated record. Lineage: Eukaryota; Metazoa; Chordata; Mammalia; Dasyuromorphia; Dasyuridae.